UUAUGGGGCAGGAGCACUUAGGGGGCAGGGGCACUUAUGGGGCAGGAGCACUUAUGGGGCGGGGGCACUUAUGGGGCAGGGACACAUCACUAUGGGGCAGGAGCACUUAUGGGGCGGGGGCACUUAUGGGGCAGGAACUCACCCAGGGAGUGGCGGGAGACAUCGGGGACGUUCUCAUAUUGCUCGGGGGGGGUGGCUGUGGGGCAAUCAGUGGGGUCAGUGGGAUCUAUGGGGUCAGUGGGGUGUAUGGGUGGGAUCUAUGGGGUCAGUGGGGUGUAUGGGGUCAGUCAGUGGGGUCAGUGGGAUCUGUGGGGUCAGUGGGGCAAUCAGUGGGGUCAGUGGGAUCUAUGGGGUCAGUGGGGUGUAUGGGGUCAGUCAAUGGGGUCAGUGGGGUGUAUGGGGUCAGUCAGUGGGGUCAGUGGGUGGGGUCAGUGGGGUGUAUGGGGUCAAUCAAUGGGGUCAAUCAGUGGGGUCAGUGGGGUGUAUGGGGUCAGUCAAUGGGGUCAGUGGGGUGUAUGGGUGUGAUCUAUGGGGUCAGUGGGGUGUAUGGGGUCAAUCAAUGGGGUCAGUCAGUGGGGUCAGUGGGAUCUAUGGGGUCAGUGGGAUCUAUGGGGUCAGUCAAUGGGGUCAGUGGGGUGUAUGGGGUCAAUCAGUGGGGUCAGUGGGAUCUAUGGGGUCAGUGGGGCAAUCAGUGGGGUCAGUGGGGUGUAUGGGGUCAGUCAGUGGGGUCAGUGGGGCAAUCAGUGGGGUGUAUGGGGUCAGUGGGGUCUAUGGGGCCAAUCAAUGGGGUCAGUGGGUUUUAUGGGGUCAAUCAGUGGGGUCAGUGGGAUCUAUGGGGUCAGUCAGUGGGGUCAGUGGGAUCUAUGGGGUGAGUGGGUGGGGUCAGUGGGGUGUACGGGGUCAAUCAAUGGGGUCAGUCAGUGCGGUCAGUGUGAUCUAUGGGGU
This 945-nucleotide long non-coding RNA is filed under the name Gallus gallus (chicken). RNAcentral's name for it is "lncRNA (ENSGALG00010000424.1)". Lineage: Eukaryota; Metazoa; Chordata; Aves; Galliformes; Phasianidae. The record is from RNAcentral.